Molecule: long non-coding RNA, 1222 nt
Filed under: Macaca mulatta (Rhesus monkey)
Lineage: Eukaryota; Metazoa; Chordata; Mammalia; Primates; Cercopithecidae
Description: lncRNA (ENSMMUG00000060664.1)
Source: RNAcentral
GAGAAGGGUGCAGUAAGGGGGUCCUGGGAGGACAGGGUACAGUGUGGGGAGGCCUGGUGAGGGAGGCUGGGUGGGAGGGCAGAAGGGUGGUUUGGGGAGGGGAUCUUCCUGCCCUCAGUCCCCCUCGCCAUUGCAGGCUUCACCUCCACCAGUGGCCUCCUGUGGGACCCAAAUUCAUUUCCACUAUAGACACGGGGUCAGACUUGCUGGUAGCCCAGGUUCCUGUCUCUGGACUCCCCUCCACGGAGCCUGUAUGGGCAGGGCACUCCUGUCCCUUUCUCCCUCUUCCUUCUCUGGGGCAGCCCUGCUCUCCUCCCAGGACACAGCCCCACCCAGGGCACCCUGCAGCUGAGCUUGGUGCCGGGACCUGCUCUGGCCUGGAGGGGAUGCACAUCAAUCCCUGCAGACGGGCUGGCUCCUACAGGACAGGUUUCCCUUGGAAAGAGCUCCUAAGAGCGGGGAGCAGCCAACCGUCCCCUGGAACUAUGCCGAGGACCUUCCUGUCGAGGGGACUGAGCCUGUGAGGUCAGUAGGAGUGGAGCGUAGGCACUGGGCUGCCGUCAGGCCAGAGGGAGGAGGCGGCUCUCCCAGGCUCACUGCUCUGUUGAGUCAAAGCCAGUGCCCUUCCUGUCUCUGCAAGGCCCGUGUGUCCAACGGCAAGCGCAGAGGAGAGCAAGUGCCAGGGGGAGAGGACACCGUCUGGCCAGCCCUGUCCUCCACAGACGGCCCUAUGGUCCUGCAUGGCGCCCGCCUCCUUUCCUCUCUGACCACAAACUCACAUCUCUCUUGCUUUCCUGGCCCCUGUUGGACCCCAGGGCCGUUGUCUCCUUGCUUGGCACCGUCCAGACGAAAGCUGCUGAUAUCUUUUCCUGACAACUGAGUUAUGCCCUAAGUUCUGCCAAUACUAGCUGUGAAAUGAAGAGGAGCUCAGGACGCGCUGAGAAGACCCAUGGGAAAGGGAGAGGGACCACUUACCCCACGACAGCAGGUGGGAAGGAUCACCUGGGAAAUGCCGCGAACCAGGACCGUGUCACGCAUGGCAGACGCCACGCAAACCUCUGUGCAGUGAAUGGAGGGCCCCGUGUAUCAUUUUAAACCACUGGGAUUAUACUCCAUCUAAUUUGUUUAAAAUGAUGGGGAAUAAAACAUGUAAUCCACCUUAUAUUUCCAUCCAAUAUGGUCCGAGUUGAAAUGUUUCAGUUCUCGGAUAAGUACCUCUCUC